AACACAUGCAAGUCGAGCGCCUCGCAAGAGGAGCGGCAGACGGGUGAGUAACGCGUGGGAAUCUACCCAGCUCUACGGAAUAACUCAGGGAAACUUGUGCUAAUACCGUAUACGUCCGAUAGGAGAAAGAUUUAUCGGAGUUGGAUGAGCCCGCGUUGGAUUAGCUAGUUGGUGGGGUAAUGGCCUACCAAGGCGACGAUCCAUAGCUGGUCUGAGAGGAUGAUCAGCCACACUGGGACUGAGACACGGCCCAGACUCCUACGGGAGGCAGCAGUGGGGAAUAUUGGACAAUGGGCGCAAGCCUGAUCCAGCCAUGCCGCGUGAGUGAUGAAGGCCCUAGGGUUGUAAAGCUCUUUCAACGGUGAAGAUAAUGACGGUAACCGUAGAAGAAG
Molecule: ribosomal RNA, 392 nt
Filed under: grassland soil clone saf3_115
Lineage: Bacteria
Description: bacterial SSU rRNA
Rfam family: Bacterial small subunit ribosomal RNA
Source: RNAcentral